UUCCCGGGCCUUGUACACACCGCCCGUCACACCAUGGGAGUGGGUUGCAAAAGAAGUAGGUAGCUUAACCUUCGGGAGGGCGCUUACCACUUUGUGAUUCAUGACUGGGGUGAAGUCGUAACAAGGUAACCGUAGGGGAACCUGCGGUUGGAUCACCUCCUUACCUUAAAGAAGC
RNAcentral lists this ribosomal RNA (175 nucleotides) under Escherichia coli. RNAcentral describes it as "partial 16S ribosomal RNA". It matches the Rfam family "Bacterial small subunit ribosomal RNA", at positions 1371 to 1533 of the family's 1533-position model. RNAcentral also lists the same sequence under 2 other names. Lineage: Bacteria; Pseudomonadati; Pseudomonadota; Gammaproteobacteria; Enterobacterales; Enterobacteriaceae. The record is from RNAcentral.